Molecule: long non-coding RNA, 1012 nt
Organism: Stomoxys calcitrans (stable fly)
Lineage: Eukaryota; Metazoa; Arthropoda; Insecta; Diptera; Muscidae
Exons: 2
Source: RefSeq, a predicted model, not a curated record
UGAAACGUCAAACCGCUUUCUGUUUACCGCUCUUCAUAAUUUUGCCAAUAUUCUGAUUUUUGUAAAAAUUACGAACAACUACAAACUGUCUACUUUUAAAAAUAUACUUCUUUUUCGCGUCACUAUUGGUUUGUCAUACAUAAAUAAGCAAAAACAUUGUUUCUCAUUCAUAAAACUGUUUAUGUGUGAUCCUUUCUUUCAAAAUUUAUAAAUGCUCAGGGAAGAAGCUUGAAACAAAUUUCUCCGGAUAUUUUUGCUGACAAUACACCAAAAAAACAUUUAUCUAACAAAAUUAUGAAUCCAAGUGCCGCAGUUGCUACUACCUCUGCAGCGUCAUCGGCUAGUGUGCCAUAAACUUAAUAGUGCUUUGGAUGCCAAACUGGAGUGUAUUGUGAAGAAGAAGACCUGACACCAAUCUCCAUUGAAAUCCAGCAUAAGCGCGACGACAACGCCCGUCUUCAGAAAGAGCUGCAAUCUGGUAAAAACGGUCUCGAGUUUGUAGACAAAACCUGCAGACGCAAUAACAUUGUCAUAAAAGCAACUAUGUGCCUGAAGCGGUGUGUGAAUUGAAGGAGCUAUGUACACAAACUCUAAAAGUCACCUUCAGUGUAGUGGAGGUUCACAAAGUUGGAUCGGAAAAGUCUUUUGUUUUAACACUAAAUUCACCCAUGCGAGUAAAUGCCGGUAUGGCUGCAAAGCGUUAACUUGUUGGCCCAAAAAUAUAAAUAGAUAAAGACUACACCGCAGACGAACGCUCCAACAGGUAUUUCUUACGACAGAUCGGCAAAAUUUUCAAAAAGGGGAAAAAGUCGUCGCCGAUUUUCUACCAGAUGCUGAGUACCUGCGCAACCUGUUAUCUACAAUACAAUAAACUGUGAAUGCAUUAUUGAAGUAAAGUCUUAUAAAAACAAUACAACCACCGUAAAUGAUGCAAAUUUGAAUUAGCGAUUAGAAGUGAGUCAAUUGGUAUCUUAUAAUGUACAAUGUACAAUACAAUACAAUACAUCGACAA